CAGAAAUGGCAUCAGCACCCCUGGAGCUGGAGGUAUAGAUGCUUGUGAGCCAGCAUGUGCCUGCUGGAAAUUAAACCCUGGUCCUCCCGCAGAGCAACCAGUGGUCUUCACUGCUGAGCCAUCUCUCCAGACUUGACUAUCCACCGUAUUCAACUGGGAGUCCAGAUCAGAAUCCCAUUCUCCACUUCUGCAGCUACAAGGUCUUCAGCAGUGUCACUGAGGGACCUGGUGCUGUAAGCGGUUCUAGGCGUCCCCGUGGGCUCAUGUGACUGGUGGGAAGUUUCACGUGUAUGACAAGCACUGUAGGAUGACAGUCCUGACCAUGUGAGCGGAGUGCCUGCGUGGAAGUCAGAGGACAGCCUAACGGACUCUGUUCUCUCCUGCCGUGUAGCCUUCCAUGAGCUUGUGUGGGAACACCUUACUCAUGGGCCAUCUCACUGACCCUGUCCCUGUGUUCUUUACCAAGGCACUUUCAGGAAACAGUGGAGGGUAGUGAAGUGGCAGAUGGCGGUGCAGGUGCCUGUGGAGGGUGUGAGGUCCCAUGGAGCCGGAACUCCAAGUGGCUGUAAGCUCCUGUGUGAGCUCUGAGGAUGAAUUCACAUCCCCUGAAAGAGCAUUAAGCUGGUGCUGAGCCAUCACUACAGGCCCAGAAAACUGAAAUUUUUAAUCAUACAAUUUUUAUAUUCAAAUUCUUUCCUGAGAAUAACCUCAAAAGAACUUCUGGAGUUUUUAUUUUACAUUGUGGUAAUAUUAUUUAUUUUGUUCAGAUAAUCUGUCACAGUGAAAUUGAACAAAUCAAAACAAUAAAAACUGAAAGAAUGUUGGGAAUUGCAACCUAGAAAUCCAUUCUGACAGAUAAAGUAAGCAAAUAAAGCUCUUAAAAUUAUUGUGCAGAAGUAACAGUUAUUUACUGUUUUUUUGGUAUUUAUUUAUUAUAACUUGUGGAAAAGCCCUGAAGCAGCUAGUUUUAUACACCAUUCCACAACAGCUUAACACUCAUGGGGUGUGCCAAAGCAUCCUUGCGUGUCAGUGGUUAGGACAGACUGGGGGCGCUUGAUUCCACAAAAGAGUCCAUCAGUGGCUUUAGCCCACCUCUGGGUCAUGUCUUAGUCUUUCCCUUCCCCUGAGCCUUCUCCCUGCCUUCCUCUGCUUAGCCUCUCUUCCUCACCCCUCCCUUUAAGAUCCCUUCUUCCUGGGUGGGAGGGAUGCAUAGUAGUUAAGGGCACUUGCUAUGCUUUAUAUUGGAUCUAGGUCCAGUUACCAGGCCCCUCAUGGUGGCUCACAACCAUCUAUAAUGCCAGUACCAGGGAAUCUGAUGCCCUCUUUUGGUCCCUGAAGGCACCAAGUAAACAUGGUGCACGUACAUGCAUGCAGACAAAACACUCACACAUACAAAGGAUACUAAAUAGGCCUUUAAAAAAUAUCUCUUUUCAUGAUUGCCUUUCUAGUUUCAGGACACACAUACACAAA
Long non-coding RNA from Mesocricetus auratus (golden hamster), 1470 nucleotides. RefSeq lists it as uncharacterized. The record is from RefSeq and is a predicted model, not a curated record. NCBI's taxonomy places the organism in Eukaryota, Metazoa, Chordata, Mammalia, Rodentia, Cricetidae. The transcript has 4 exons.